GAUGAAGAACGCAGCGAAAUGCGAUAAGUAAUGUGAAUUGCAGAAUUCAGUGAAUCAUCGAAUCUUUGAACGCACAUUGCGCCCCUUGGUAUUCCGAGGGGCAUGCCUGUUCGAGCGUCAUUAUAACCCCUCAAGCUCGGCUUGGUGUUGGGGCCUGCCGCACGGGCAGCCCUUAAAAUCAGUGGCGGUGCCAUCUGGCUCUAAGCGUAGUAAUUCUUCUCGCUAUAGAGUCCCGGUGGAUGCUUGCCAUUAACCCCCAAUCUCAAUGGUUGACCUCGGAUCAGGUAGGGAUACCCGCUGAACUUAAGCAUAUCAAUAAGCGGAGGA
This 327-nucleotide unclassified non-coding RNA is filed under the name soil metagenome. RNAcentral describes it as "partial contains 5.8S ribosomal RNA, internal transcribed spacer 2, and large subunit ribosomal RNA". The stretch from base 1 to 120 matches the Rfam family "5.8S ribosomal RNA", at positions 35 to 154 of the family's 154-position model. The record is from RNAcentral.